GUGAGGGAAAGGCGAAAAGCACCCCGGGAGGGGAGUGAAAUAGUACCUGAAACCGUGCGCCCACGAGCAGUCGGAGCAACUUUACGUUGUGACGGCGUGCCUUUUGUAGAAUGAGCCAGCGAGUCGCUGGCGCGGGGCGAGGUUAACCGAAAGGGAGCCGGAGCGAAAGCGAGCCUUAACAGGGCGACUUGAGUCCCGCGCCGCGGACGCGAAGCCGGGUGAGCUAUCCGUGGGCAGGCUGAAGCGGGGGUAAGACCCCGUGGAGGGCCGAACGCACGUCGGUUGAAAACGGCGGCGAUGACCUGCGGAUAGGGGUGAAAGGCCAAUCAAACCCGGAGAUAUCUCGUUCUCCCCGAAAUAGCUUUAGGGCUAGCGUCGCGCGUUCACCGCCGGAGGUAGAGCACCGGAUGGACGAGGGGGCUUCGCCGCCUACCGAAUCCAACCGAACUCCGAAUGCCGGCGGCCCAGAGCGCGGCAGUCAGAGCAUGUGGGCUAAGCUGUGUGCUCGAGAGGGAAACAGCCCAGACCGCCCGCCAAGGCCCCCAAGUCAUCGCUGAGUGGCAAAGGAUGUGCGUCCGCCCAGACAACCAGGAUGUUGGCUUAGAAGCAGCCACUCAUUAAAAGAGUGCGUAAUAGCUCACUGGUCGAGUGACUCUGCGCCGAAAAUUUAACGGGGCUAAACUAUACACCGAAGCUUGGGAUACAUCUAAUGUAUGGUAGGAGAGCGUUCUGUAUGGGGAGAAGUCGUAGCGAAAGCGGCGGUGGACUAUACAGAAGUGAGAAUGCCGGAAUAAGUAGCGAGAAUUAAGUGAGAAUCUUAAUGGCCGAAAGUCUAAGGUUUUUGGAGGAAGGUUCGUCCGCUCCAAGUAAGUCGGGAGCUAAGGUCAGGCCGAAAGGCGUAGCCGAUGCACAUACGGUUGAUAUUCCGUAACCAUCUGUAAUUUAAGCAAAGGGACACUUCAAAAGGGUGUGACCCGGGCGUUGGUUGACCCGGGCGUAAGGGACCGAAAUUAGAGUAGGGAAGCACACUUAGCUGAAGGCGAGAAAAGCUUUGCGUAUAGAAACAGAUGCCCGUACCGCAAACCGACACAGGUGGACAGGAAGAGAAUUCUAAGGCCAGCGGGAGAAGGGUAGUUAAGGAACUCGGCAAAUUGACUCCGUAACUUCGGAAUAAGGAGUGCUCGAAAGAGCCGCAGAGAAUAGGCCCAGGCGACUGUUUAGCAAAAACACAGGUCUCUGCCAAAUCGAAAGAUGAAGUAUAGGGGCUGACACCUGCCCGGUGCCGGAAGGUUAAGAGGAGGAGUGAGAGCUCCGAAUUGAAGCCCCGGUAAACGGCGGCCGUAACUAUAACGGUCCUAAGGUAGCGAAAUUCCUUGUCGGGUAAGUUCCGACCCGCACGAAUGGUGUAACGAUCUGGGCACUGUCUCAACUACCCACCCGGCGAAAUUGUAGUACCGGUGAAGAUGCCGGUUACCUGCGGCAAGACGGAAAGACCCCAUGGAGCUUUACUGUAGCCUGAUAUUGGGUUUCGGAAAUCUAUGUACAGGAUAGGCGGGAGACUGGGAAACAUGAGCGUCAGCUUGUGUGGAGUCGAUGUUGGGAUACCGCCCUUAGGUUUCUGGAAUUCUAACCUGCGGCCGUGAAACCGGUCGGGGGACAUUGUCAGGUGGGCAGUUUGACUGGGGCGGUCGCCUCCGAAAAGGUAACGGAGGCGCUCAAAGGUUAGCUCAGCACGGACGGAAACCGUGCCUCUGAGUGUAAACGCAAAAGCUAGCCUAACUGCGAGGGUGACGGCCCGAGCAGUAACGAAAGUUGGAGUUAGUGAUCCGGCGGUAUGUGAAUGGAAAUGCCGUCGCUCAACGGAUAAAAGCUACCCUGGGGAUAACAGGCUGAUCUCCCCCAAGAGUCCACAUCGACGGGGAGGUUUGGCACCUCGAUGUCGGCUCAUCACAUCCUGGGGCUGUAUUCGGUCCCAAGGGUUCGGCUGUUCGCCGAUUAAAGUGGUACGCGAGCUGGGUUCAGAACGUCGCGAGACAGUUCGGUCCCUAUCUGUCGUGGGCGCAGGAUAUUUGAGGAGCUCUGUCCUUAGUACGAGAGGACCGGGAUGGACGUACCUCUGGUGCACCAGUUGUCAUGCCAAUGGCACGGCUGGGCAGCUAUGUACGGAACGGAUAAACGCUGAAAGCAUCUAAGCGUGAAGCCGACUCCAAGAUUAGAUAUCCCAUCGUAUAACGAGUAAGACCCCUUGAAGACUACGAGGUUGAUAGGCUGCGUGUGUAAGUGCCGUGAGGCAUUCAGCUUGGCAGUACUAAUAGGUCGAGGGCUUGACCAC
Molecule: ribosomal RNA, 2332 nt
Filed under: human gut metagenome
Description: bacterial LSU rRNA
Rfam family: Bacterial large subunit ribosomal RNA
Source: RNAcentral